GAACCGUACGAACGUUAUUCGGAAUCACUGGGCUUAAAGGGUGCGUAGGCGGUCGCUUAAGUCGGAUGUGAAAGCCCUCGGCUUAACUGAGGAAGUGCAUCCGAAACUGAACGGCUGGAGUACGAAAGAGGGUCGCGGAAUUCCCGGUGUAGAGGUGAAAUUCGUAGAUAUCGGGAGGAACACCGGUGGCGAAGGCGGCGACCUGGGUCGAGACUGACGCUGAGGCGCGAAAGCGUGGGGAGCAAACAGGAUUAGAUACCCUGGUAGUCCACGCCGUAAACGAUGGGUGCUAGAUGUUGCUGGUAUUGACCCCGGCGGCGUCGUAGCUAACGCGUUAAGCACCCCGCCUGGGGAGUACGGCCGCAAGGCUA
This 371-nucleotide ribosomal RNA is filed under the name uncultured bacterium. Its description in RNAcentral is "bacterial SSU rRNA". It matches the Rfam family "Bacterial small subunit ribosomal RNA", at positions 527 to 896 of the family's 1533-position model. The record is from RNAcentral.